This 387-nucleotide long non-coding RNA is filed under the name Trifolium pratense (red clover). Its description in RNAcentral is "long non-coding RNA (TPRA_LNC012035)". Lineage: Eukaryota; Viridiplantae; Streptophyta; Magnoliopsida; Fabales; Fabaceae. The record is from RNAcentral.
GGUGGAAAGGAGAUAAGAACAAGAGAAAAAUCACAAAGUUCAUUCAUCCUUCUUCUUCUCUCUUCUUUGGCCGUGGCCAUUCUUUUCCAUUCCUUCCAUCACAAAUUUCAUUUCUUCACCAAAUUGAUCCAUCUUAAGCUUGUUGGAAACAUGAGAGUUCAUGGAUCAUCAUCCCUAAGCUAGGGCAAGCAAGAGAGCAAAGCAAGAGGGUGCUAGGUCUUGAGAAAGAGAGGAGCUCAUGAGAGCUAGAACAUGAGGAGCUUGAGGAUUCAUCAAAUUUCUAAGGUAAGAGAGUUAGUUUCCAUGAUUCAUGAGUGGUCAAAGAGAGGGGAGGUUGUCUAGGCCUCCAUUCCCAAACUCUCUCACUCAUUUUCUUUGGGGUUUUGG